CCCUGCCUCCGCGUCACCUUGGUGGAGGUCAGACCGCGGGAGGCGGCGGGCCCGGGUGGCCGGGGACGAGCCGCCCCGCGCGAGACCUCAGUGACUGGGAGACCGAGAACGUGCACGGAACGCGAUGAGAUGGCCGGUUUUGCCCAUCGGAGAAGGAUUCGGGGGCGGGGGAGGGCGGGUGACUAUGAUGUCCAAAUCGUUCCGUCUGCUGGGAGAAGGGACGCCGUCAUCUUCUACUGAAAGCCGUGGAAAGCAUUAAGGAAAUUGCUGUAGCCUCCCAGUUACUCCGGUUCCUCCCACACUUGUUUAUAAUGAUUUCAUUUAGGCACACCAGGGUGGCUCAGCAGUUGAGCAUCUGCCUUCGGCUCAGGGCGUGAUCCUGGAGUCUCAGCAUCGGGUCCCACAUCGGGCUCCCUGUAGGAAGCCUGCUUCUCCCUCUGCCUGUGUGUCUCUCGCUGUCUCUCAUGAAUAAAUAAAUUAAUUAAAUAAAUAAAUAAAAAUGUCUAUGAUAUUCCAAUAGCUGUAAAAUGAUUUAGUACCAUAUUUCUUGCUAGUGAUGCUGAUCUAACCACUGCUGUAAACUCAUUAUGACUUCCAUGAAAGAAGGGCCCAUGCUUAUCAGAUUCCCUGCUUCACAGUACCUAGCAUAGUGCCUGGCAUUUAGUAGCCACCUCACAAAUCUUUGGUGAAUGACUGAAUUAUGAAAUGAAUGAAUAAACAUACACUUCUA
Long non-coding RNA from Nyctereutes procyonoides (raccoon dog), 730 nucleotides. RefSeq lists it as uncharacterized. NCBI's taxonomy places the organism in Eukaryota, Metazoa, Chordata, Mammalia, Carnivora, Canidae. The record is from RefSeq and is a predicted model, not a curated record. The transcript has 2 exons.